This 234-nucleotide long non-coding RNA is filed under the name Haliotis rubra (blacklip abalone). Its description in RNAcentral is "uncharacterized LOC124270556". Lineage: Eukaryota; Metazoa; Mollusca; Gastropoda; Lepetellida; Haliotidae. The record is from RNAcentral.
UAUAACUUUUUUUCAGAUAUGCUCAAUUCAUUUUUUGGAUGGCCAUCCAAGCAAACAAAAUCCUGUUCCAGUCUUAAAUUUGGGAUAUCAAAUAAAGGUGACACAAGGGAGAAGGACCAUUUUCCGACACCCUCUCUCUGAUGUUUCUCGGACCCCAAGGAGCAAUCAACUGACUGAGGAGUGCCAUGCUGAAGCUGAACUGACAGAUCAACCUGUAUCUCAAGCUGAAGAGAA